RNAcentral lists this long non-coding RNA (355 nucleotides) under Rattus norvegicus (Norway rat). RNAcentral describes it as "long non-coding RNA NONRATT026704". The record is from RNAcentral. Lineage: Eukaryota; Metazoa; Chordata; Mammalia; Rodentia; Muridae.
UCCACAUUGGCCAUUGAGUCUUGGGAGUGGGAAGACAGAGUAAAAGGUCCUGGACUAAAGCACAAAGUUCAUUUUUAUGAAAGGAUCCAUGGAUGACUGUAACACAAGUGAACUAUGAUGAUUGUUGCCUUAACAGAUCCUGCUAAUUGAAUGAGAAUUCUAUUUGCACUGGGAAAUGUUCUGUAGGAAACACUCUGCUUGCUGAAAAUUCAUGGCCAAUGGGCCACACACGGAGCCCCACUGAACAGUUCCCACAGUAGAGCCUGUUGUAUUCUUUCUCAGAACUAAAACCAAAAGUUCAGAACAUCCCCAUUCACGGAAAAUAAUUACCCAAUCUAAUUAAAUACUUUGGAAA